Molecule: long non-coding RNA, 1835 nt
Organism: Bos indicus x Bos taurus (hybrid cattle)
Lineage: Eukaryota; Metazoa; Chordata; Mammalia; Artiodactyla; Bovidae
Source: Ensembl
GGAGGCUGGUUCCGCAGGCUCGGGCCCCCGCCACUCCCUCCCCGCCCCACGCCCAGGGUUGCCGAGGCGACGCGUGCGGGCGCCUGCCGGAGAAAGUCACGCGGGGCAACUUCUUAGCUAGAGUGACCGGUCGGUCGGUCUAGGGAGGAGAGGGUCGGCAUCGUGAGGUUUUGCCUUCGCGAUGUCCAGCAAAGCUGACAAAAAGCGGAAAGUGACUAGCCGGGGAAGUGCCCGCCGGCGAGCUGCCCAGUCUACUCUGGAUGCACAGGUCGAGGAGAUCACCUUGCCGGCCAGCAGCGAGGUCCAGGCGGAGCCGGAGACCGUCAAGGAGGAGCCUGAGCCAGUAUUGGAGCAACCUGAAAUACAGAAAGAAGAAUUAGAGGAGCGUGAGGUAGAUGUGGUAAGUUUGGGUUGUUGUUGAAACAAGUAUUCCUCACCAGCGAUUGGUGAUUCAAAGGAUCAGUUGCAGAAUGGUGUUUGAGGAAUUCUCUUCUUCAGUCUCUCACUUGAUACCUUUUCUUUCUACCAGCAGAAACUGGUAGCCUGCUCACUGCAAAUCCAGUACACUGAGUAAAGGGCAGAGUUAUCCAUGCCCCCUACUCCUCCAGAAGAAGAGAGCUUUCAGGAGGGAACAGGACUUUUAGCAGGCCCUUCCUCGUCUCUCCAUCUUGGGUCAAAAUGUGACAAGCUUUAUCUGUCGAAUGGGUGAAAUCUGGACAUGUUGAACAAGCUGGCAGACACUGUCCUAAUUUCUAAGACAUCCUCUUUCUUCCUGUCCUUUGGUGCUCUCCUUUGGCUGAAAAGUUUACAGAAGCCACUUGAAAUACUUUCAGAAAUUGACACUCCAUGACCUGUAUACCUUUAUUUUCAAGCUGCAUCAGAGCCUGGGGACAACUUCUAACCUGGAUUAGAAGAAUAGUGACCUUGAACUUUCUAGAAAGGGAGAGCAAAAUAACAACUACUCAUUAAAGAAAAAAACUGGAAGGGAUAGAAAGCUAAAACAAAGAAAGGGAAAAUGAAGUUAUGACUAAACACAUUCAAUAUUAAUAAUUGGGUAUAUGUCCUUUCUUUCUGUAGAUUUGAGAGUUAUUUUGUUUUCUAACAAUCUUAACUAUACUACACAUUAUACUUUUUAAAUUAGGCUUUUUCACAAAACAUUUUAUCAUUCUUCAUGUUGUUACAUUCUUAAAAAAGAAUACAGAGGAUUUCCCUGGAAUUACAGUGGUUAAGACUCUGUGCUCCCAAUGUAAGGGGAACUAAGCUCCUUAAAAAAGGACCUUAAAAAAAAUUGGGGAUGCUGUUAUUUUUUAUCAGAAAUACAUAAAUCACAAGACGCCUCUUUUUUUGGGCUGUGCCUCGAGGUUUGUGGGAUCUUAGUUCUCGACCAGAGAUUGAACCUGGUCCUGGGGAAGUGAAAACGUGGAGUCCUAACCACUGGCGUGUCUGCUACAUCACUUCAGUCCUGUCCGACUCUGUGACCCUAUGGACUGUAGCCUGCCAAGCUCCUUUGUCCAUGGGAUUCUCCAGGCAAGAAUACUGGAGUGGGUUGCCAUGUCCUCCUCCAGAGGAUCUUCCCCACCCAAGGAUCAAGCCCACAUUGGCAGGUGGGUUCUUUACCACUAAUGCCACCUGGGACGCCCCCUAACCAUUGGAUUGCCAGGGAAUUCCCUGUAAGCACCGUUUUAAAUGUUCACUCAGUGCUUGAUAAGGUAUAUGUACCAUAGUUAAAUCCUUACUCUUGGACAUUUUUCCAUUUAUGAUUUUUUUUUUGCUUUAAUAGUACUGUGAUGAAUUUUAUAAAUAAAACUAACAUAUUUUGAAAUACUUAAUAUUUG